AAAUGUGAAAAUUUAUUUUAGAACUUAUACUGAACACAGAGACGUAACGAAGAGAAACAGAAAACUAAAAAAU
Molecule: small RNA, 73 nt
Filed under: Arabidopsis thaliana (thale cress)
Lineage: Eukaryota; Viridiplantae; Streptophyta; Magnoliopsida; Brassicales; Brassicaceae
Description: ATSL008600
Source: RNAcentral